Molecule: ribosomal RNA, 390 nt
Filed under: uncultured bacterium
Lineage: Bacteria
Description: bacterial SSU rRNA
Rfam family: Bacterial small subunit ribosomal RNA
Source: RNAcentral
GACGAACGCUGGCGGCGUGCUUAACACAUGCAAGUCGAGCGGUAAGGCCCUUUCGGGGGUACACGAGCGGCGAACGGGUGAGUAACACGUGGGUGACCUGCCCUUAGCUCUGGGAUAAGCCUGGGAAACUGGGUCUAAUACCGGAUAUGACUCCAUGACGCAUGUUGUGGGGUGGAAAGCCUUGUGCGGCUAGGGAUGGGCCCGCUGCCUAUCAGCUUGUUGGUGGGGUGAUGGCCUACCAAGGCGACGACGGGUAGCCGGCCUGAGAGGGCGACCGGCCACACUGGGACUGAGACACGGCCCAGACUCCUACGGGAGGCAGCAGUGGGGAAUCUUGCGCAAUGGGCGAAAGCCUGACGCAGCGACGCCGCGUGGGGAUGACGGCCUCGG